This 402-nucleotide ribosomal RNA is filed under the name uncultured bacterium. RNAcentral's name for it is "bacterial SSU rRNA". It matches the Rfam family "Bacterial small subunit ribosomal RNA", at positions 355 to 774 of the family's 1533-position model. The record is from RNAcentral.
UGGGGAAUAUUGGACAAUGGGGGAAACCCUGAUCCAGCAAUGCCGCGUGAGUGAAGAAGGCCUUAGGGUUGUAAAGCUCUUUCGCCCGCGAAGAUAAUGACGGUACCUGGAGAAGCAGCUGCGGCUAACUACGUGCCAGCAGCCGCGGUAAUACGUAGGCAGCAAGCGUUGUUCGGAAUUACUGGGCGUAAAGGGUGCGUAGGCGGCGCUCUAAGUUUGGUGUGAAAUCUCCCGGCUUAACUGGGAGGGUGCACUGAAAACUGGGGCGCUCGAGUAUGGGAGAGGAAAGCGGAAUUCCUGGUGUAGCGGUGAAAUGCGUAGAGAUCAGGAGGAACACCUGCGGUGCAGACGGCUUUCUGGACCAUCACUGACGCUGAGGCACGAAAGCGUGGGUAGCAAACA